CUGACCAGCGACGCCGCGUGGGGGAAGAAGGCCUUCGGGUCGUAAACCCCUUUUGCCGGGGAAGAAGCUCUGACGGUACCCGGCGAAUAAGCCACGGCUAACUACGUGCCAGCAGCCGCGGUAAUCA
This 127-nucleotide ribosomal RNA is filed under the name uncultured Chloroflexota bacterium. Its description in RNAcentral is "uncultured Chloroflexi bacterium partial 16S ribosomal RNA". It matches the Rfam family "Bacterial small subunit ribosomal RNA", at positions 383 to 525 of the family's 1533-position model. Lineage: Bacteria; Bacillati; Chloroflexota. The record is from RNAcentral.